RNAcentral lists this long non-coding RNA (455 nucleotides) under Homo sapiens (human). RNAcentral describes it as "HSALNT0353842". Lineage: Eukaryota; Metazoa; Chordata; Mammalia; Primates; Hominidae. The record is from RNAcentral.
GGCACCGUCAACACCCUGGAGACUCCAUGCAGAAAUGAAAGCUCUGUCUAAAAAGUAGCUGUAAGGAUGUGAGGAGAAAUCAUUUUCCAGAAACAAGGAUCCCCCAAGAGGAAUACAGUUUCUGCAAGGAGAGAGAAUAAACCUGAACCUCCAGCAUCUGUCUCUGGAUCAUGAGGCUGCCUGAUAAAAGAGCCUGCAUGAAGGAAAGCUGAAUGAAGAGGUGGAAAGAUUGAGGCAAAGUUCUGAUGACAUCAUCUGAGUGCCUAGAUCCAGCUGUGCCUGAAGUUUUGGAAGGUGCCCAAAAGACUGUCCAGAGUGUCCCAGCCUUCUCCGACAGUGCCGGGAAACAAGAGGUGGCUGCUGCCGUUUGCAAGUAUGGAUGAAGGCCUGAGUGGUCCCGGGCAUUCAGGGCCAGGAAGGCAGGAGGGGAGGGGCUGGGAGGAGGGGGCGCUUUG